CAGCCGCCACGGUAAUACGUAGGUGGCAAGCGUUGUCCGGAAUUAUUGGGCGUAAAGGGCUCGCAGGCGGUUUCUUAAGUCUGAUGUGAAAGCCCCCGGCUCAACCGGGGAGGGUCAUUGGAAACUGGGAAACUUGAGUGCAGAAGAGGAGAGUAGAAUUCCACGUGUAGCGGUGAAAUGCGUAGGGAUGUGGAGGAACACCAGUGGCGAAGGCGACUCUCUGGUCUGUAACUGACGCUGAGGAGCGAAAGCGUGGGGAGCAAACGGGAUUAGAUACCCCAGUAGUCCCUGUCUCUUAUAC
RNAcentral lists this ribosomal RNA (301 nucleotides) under uncultured bacterium. Its description in RNAcentral is "partial 16S ribosomal RNA". It matches the Rfam family "Bacterial small subunit ribosomal RNA", at positions 509 to 807 of the family's 1533-position model. The record is from RNAcentral.